RNAcentral lists this ribosomal RNA (209 nucleotides) under Ethanoligenens harbinense. Its description in RNAcentral is "partial 23S ribosomal RNA". The record is from RNAcentral. Lineage: Bacteria; Bacillati; Bacillota; Clostridia; Eubacteriales; Oscillospiraceae.
GGUACUUAGAUGUUUCAGUUCAGGCGGUUCCCCACGUGCAGCUAUGGAUUCACUGCACGCUGACGGAGUAUGGCUCCGCCGGGUUGCCCCAUUCGGAUAUCCACGGAUCAAUGCCUGCUUUCGACUCCCCGUGGCUUUUCGCAGAUCGCUGCGUCCUUCAUCGGCUCCUGGUGCCAAGGCAUUCCCCUUGCGCUCUUUGUAGCUUGACC